CCUCAUUGGCCUGCUGAGGGCAGAUAAAAUGGAUGUGCGAGUCAAACCCUCCCGCUGUAAUGAUCUUGCCCUCCCCGGCAAUAACAUCCGUACAAGACCCAACGAUCAUAUUCGGCGAGACCCCCUCCAUCACAUCCGGAUUUCCCGCCUUCCCAAUACCUACGAUGAAGCCAUCCUUGACCCCGAUAUCAGCUUUGUAGAUACCGGUCCAAUCCACAAUCAACGCAUUCACAAUCACCAAAUCGAGGGAGACCUCAUCCGAAACCCCAGUAGCUUGUCCCAUGCCCUCGCGGAGG
This 296-nucleotide small RNA is filed under the name Drepanopeziza brunnea f. sp. 'multigermtubi' MB_m1. RNAcentral describes it as "Marssonina brunnea f. sp. 'multigermtubi' MB_m1 5' ureB small RNA". It matches the Rfam family "5' ureB small RNA". The record is from Rfam by way of RNAcentral. Lineage: Eukaryota; Fungi; Ascomycota; Leotiomycetes; Helotiales; Drepanopezizaceae.